RNAcentral lists this long non-coding RNA (551 nucleotides) under Chrysemys picta bellii (western painted turtle). RNAcentral's name for it is "lncRNA (ENSCPBG00000021094.1)". The record is from RNAcentral. Lineage: Eukaryota; Metazoa; Chordata; Testudines; Emydidae.
UGAUACAGUAACGCCUGGAUUGCACCGUGUUAUUCUAGCCAGCAGCUCUUGGGUUCCCUGCGCCCUUAGGGACACAAUUAAGGCCCCAGUCUUUAGGCAAAGGUAACUAUGGUAGCCAAACAUUAGCUGUUACUGUCAGUGGAGAAAAGCCUGGUCAAGAACUAAUGAGCCAUCAGCAUCAGCCCCCGUUAUCCCGCCCAGAGGGCAUUGGCGUGAUCAGCCCGGGCGCCAGGGACACAGGCUCGCUCGCGUUCAGCUUAGCUCGGUACCAAAGCGUUAGCCAGCCAAAUCCUCCGGGGUGGGGUGGGGGAAAGACGUUCUCAUUAUCCCGCUCGGCGCUGUGGCGGAGGCAGCUGGCCUGGCUGUCCAUUAAUAGAUUACACGGAGGAUUUGAGAUUGUUAACAGGGAAGAGCGCUUUAGCUGGAUCCAUGCUGGUAAAAGGCCACUGAGGCGCGCCCCACAGCGGAGGACGCAUCCUUUAGGAGGGACCUGUACUUCUCCCCCUCCCGGUUACACAUUUUCGGACAAGCCCAGGUUGCUUCCCCAUUAA